AUUGAACGCUGGCGGCAUGCCUUACACAUGCAAGUCGAACGGUAACAGGUCUUCGGAUGCUGACGAGUGGCGAACGGGUGAGUAAUACAUCGGAACGUGCCUAGUAGUGGGGGAUAACUACUCGAAAGAGUGGCUAAUACCGCAUGAGAUCUACGGAUGAAAGCAGGGGAUCGCAAGACCUUGUGCUACUAGAGCGGCCGAAGGCAGAUUAGGUAGUUGGUGGGAUAAAAGCUUACCAAGCCGACGAUCUGUAGCUGGUCUGAGAGGACGAUCAGCCACACUGGGACUGAGACACGGCCCAGACUCCUACGGGAGGCAGCAGUGGGGAAUGUUGGACAAUGGGCGCAAGCCUGAUCCAGCAAUGCCGCGUGCAGGAUGAAGGCCUUCGGGUUGUAAACUGCUUUUGUACGGAACGAAAAGCCCUGGGUUAAUACCCUGGGGUCAUGACGGUACCGUAAGAAUAAGCACCGGCUAACUACGUGCCAGCCGCCGCCGUAA
Molecule: ribosomal RNA, 498 nt
Filed under: uncultured bacterium
Lineage: Bacteria
Description: partial 16S ribosomal RNA
Rfam family: Bacterial small subunit ribosomal RNA
Source: RNAcentral